UACGUAGGGUGCAAGCGUUGUCCGGAAUUAUUGGGCGUAAAGAGCUCGUAGGCGGUCUGUCGCGUCGGCUGUGAAAGCCCGAGGCUUAACCUCGGGUCUGCAGUCGAUACGGGCUAGCUAGAGUGUGGUAGGGGAGAUCGGAAUUCCUGGUGUAGCGGUGAAAUGCGCAGAUAUCAGGAGGAACACCGGUGGCGAAGGCGGAUCUCUGGGCCAUUACUGACGCUGAGGAGCGAAAGCGUGGGGAGCGAACAGG
RNAcentral lists this ribosomal RNA (253 nucleotides) under uncultured bacterium. Its description in RNAcentral is "partial 16S ribosomal RNA". It matches the Rfam family "Bacterial small subunit ribosomal RNA", at positions 524 to 776 of the family's 1533-position model. The record is from RNAcentral.